Molecule: long non-coding RNA, 628 nt
Organism: Chinchilla lanigera (long-tailed chinchilla)
Lineage: Eukaryota; Metazoa; Chordata; Mammalia; Rodentia; Chinchillidae
Exons: 4
Source: RefSeq, a predicted model, not a curated record
CUCGGUCUCCCCCUCGCGGGGUGGGGGGAGCUCGGUGGCUUGGCCUUUUUCACUUUCACUAAAGAGCCCGCCCCACCAGCCGCGCUCGCCCAAGGCGGGCAGCCCUCGCGGCCACCGUACCUCUACUUCCGCCUGCCGGCCAAGCACAGGACUGAGACCCGAGGACGCGGUGCGUCUGAAAGCAGUCGCCGGCCUGGCUAGCCCGCACUGUGGGAGGAACCAAAGGACGGGCGGGGCCAGAACGUGGAGCUGGGCUGCGGUGCAAGGGCGGGGCUGCUGUGUUACCCUGCGAGAACAAAGCAGGGACAGCCAGAGCACCAGCUGCCUGGAUUUCCUGCCUCCAGAAAUCCUUUCCUGACUUCUAAACUUGACAGUUCUGGAGUUGGAUGAUCGGAAGUAGUCCAGGAAUUCCCUUGAGAGUAAAACAUAAGGCUUGCUUGAUUGGCUGGGUAUAGGAAACCAGAAUCUAGCUUCUUAAGUCUUGUGUGCUCAUCUUCCCUUCACCUGAUGGGGUCAGUGUUCCCCAAGUUUGUUACUACAGCCUUUAUAGUUACCCUGGUGUUGAGCAGGGCCUGUUGCCACCUCGCCAAGCCCACUGGCGAUCGUACUGAUGUUGAUGCUGCCCGCC